GUUUUCUACACAUGCGAAAAGAACGGAGUACAUUGUUGUAGCAAUACAGUGGUGUACUUUUUCCCGGACGGGUGAGUAACACGUAGGUAACCUUCCCCUAAGCGGGGGGCAACUCAGGGAAACUUGAGCUAAUACCCCAUAAGACCACGGGCUGGGAUGUCUGUGGUAAAAGGAGCAAUCCGCUUAAGGACGGGCCUGCGGCCUAUCAGGUAGUUGGUGGGGUAAUGGCCCACCAAGCCAGAGACGGGUAGCCGGACUGAGAGGUCGAACGGCCACACUGGAACUGAGACACGGUCCAGACUCCUACGGGAGGCAGCAGUGGG
RNAcentral lists this small RNA (323 nucleotides) under uncultured bacterium. RNAcentral's name for it is "bacterial SSU rRNA". It matches the Rfam family "Bacterial small subunit ribosomal RNA", at positions 50 to 357 of the family's 1533-position model. The record is from RNAcentral.